Molecule: long non-coding RNA, 4045 nt
Organism: Brassica rapa (field mustard)
Lineage: Eukaryota; Viridiplantae; Streptophyta; Magnoliopsida; Brassicales; Brassicaceae
Source: RefSeq, a predicted model, not a curated record
GUUAAUUUAACGUGUUAAAAUUUAAAAAUAAAUUUUAAUUAUGACAUGCAUUUAACAUUUAUAUAAAUAUAUAUCAUAGCCUAAAUAUAAAUAAUUUAAUAACUUAAAUUAGAAAAAAAUAAAAAUCCCGGGCGUAGCCCGGGUUAAUCCCUAGUCUAUCUAUACUAAUAAAGGAGAGUUGUCUCUCUCCUUAGGCUAUCCAGCUCAGCAAAGAGGGAGGGGCAUUUUCCGCCACGUGGCAGUCUAAUAUUUAACUUGGAAAUCUAUUACACUGAACUUUUGUUACGCUGGCCCGAAACUUGAAACCUUGCAGUCCAUUGGGCCGUCCUUUGCAAUUUAUUGACCUAAAAGGAGCCGCUGCGAUCAUUGGUUUAUACAACACCGACGGCCUUAGGCUAUCAUUCAAUCGCCCAAUAAUGAUCGCAUUUACGUCAUCUCCCCACUUCCUCCACUCCCUCACAUUCAAUAGCCCUCUCACUCCUCUAUAGUAACGGAGGAGUCCUUCUAUAAAUAACAUUGCAGUCUAGGAUGAAACUCAUCACUCGCACCGAAUCAAUAGCUUUCUCUUAAAAACCCAGAUUCCAUCGAUGGAGCCUCUCACCUAUUGCUCUUCGAUUUGAAAGUUCGUCGUUCUACUAAGACUGUGGAGGUGUUACUGCUUAGGUUAUGGGAGGCGCCUAAUGUGACAAAAGGAGGAGAGCUCCAGGGAAUGGACAUGAUCAUCCUCGAUGAACAGGUAAAGCUUGGUCAACGCCCCACCGAUUGAACACUUUUAGACACCUACUAAGGAAGGUUCAAUCUACUCGAUAACUGGGAUAAUUGGGUUGGCGUUACAUGAACAAACCAUAACUCUCCAACUCCCCGAUCUCCAUACACUUCGAUGAGCAACCCGCGUUCAAAAAUAUUCAGUUGCGGGCGCUGCCAAGCUGCUCCCAGGAACUUAGGCCCUGCCAAUUCACAUGAACCAUGUAUAAAGGCAGUGAAAUUCAAUAUUUUGAGAUGUCAAACACAAAACAAUCAGGGUACAGUUGGAACCUAAAGUGAAACAUGAGUAUAAACUGACAGAUACAUUUGAAAAGUGGUCUGCAUAUGGAAAAUUAGACUAGACAGUAAGUAUAUUACUCCACCGAAAGUGUAAUGUUUAUAGUCCUAGAACGUGCAUUAUGAGUGUAAUAUAUCUGGACAUCCAUUAACAUCAUAUGAACAUCUAUACAACAUCGACAAUUUGACAUCUAAGUUUGUUGGACAUAGUAGUCAAGAAUUUACAAAUCGUCAAUUAUGCUUUCUUGGCAACACAUGCCACCUCAAAACAAUAAUGAUCUGUAUACGAAAGCAUCAGACCAAGUCUCACUAUUCACAUUGUGAACUAAAUUUUGUGGUGAAGCAGCAGUUGAUCGGAGAAUAAGUACAUCACUUGAUGACCACAGCGUUUGAAAGAACAUAACCAUAAUUGUCACAAAUGCAAUGACAACAACCAAAGAUUGGCCUACCCUGUAACUACAUUCACGAAACAGCAUGUGCACUCUUGGAAAUGAUCAAACUCUAUCAGGUUCCAAUUGUAUUUGACCAUGACCCCUCGAACGUAUUUGAUUUUAAAAACAGCAUUAACGGCAGGUAGCUAAAAGAGCUUUUAUCUAUCUCAUAACCAAACUAACAGCAAACAAUCAUCCCAAACAUAUCAACCAUUGUUAUAUUUCUCGCUUAACUUUGAUUAGACAUUCAACAGAGUCCACAUGAAGAGAUAUAACAUAGAAUUAUCAAAAUUCAAUAAGAAACCAACCUUGAGGAACCGAUGUUGAUGUUCUUGUGAAACCCUGACACAAUCAGCACAACUACCAUCAAUCAGCCUCUCAGACCCAAAAUAUCCACCUCCUGCUCUUUCUCUUCCUUCUUCUCCUUAUCUACACCGCCUGGCUUCGUCUCUUCGAGGUUGGUCUGAAAAUCUCUGUCUUCAUCGUUGUCUCUGUCGUCGGAUUUGAAAAAGAGGUCAUCUAGGGAUUGAGAGAGGAAAUGGGAAUUAGGGGGACGGAUUCUGAGGCGCCCGAGUAGGAUUUGGAAUUUGUGUAUCUGUUGAAAGAGCUCAUGGUUAUUCGCGAUUCCAUCUUCUUUUUAUUUUUCCCUUCUCUUCGUUAUCCUUAACGAAAUCAGAUUUUAGAAGAAAAAAAUCCCAAAAAAGUAUCAGUUUUAGAUGUAAACGUGGGUUAGUCUAAAUGGUAAAUAUCAACUUUUAGGCAUCGUAUUUCAAGUUUCGUAAAUGGUGUUUUUGGUUUCUUAACUUUUGUAAUCCAAAAUAAUCUUUAAAAAUAUAUAAACUUAGUAAUAUAGUAACUAUAAUAUUUUAUUUCUAUAUAAUUAUUAACUAUUUCUAGAUUAGUAUCAAAAAUUCUGAUCUAAUGUAUUGGUAUAAAAAGUUAUUAUAGAAUUUGUAAAUUAAAUAGAAUUGGUAAAUUAAAUAGAAUUUGUAAAAAGUUUUCAAGUAUAUAUUUACAUAGAAUUUUGUAUUUUGUUAUUUUAUCAUUUUAUAGAAUUGUAUUGUAUUCUGAGUUGAUACAACUUAGAACUCAAAACGGAAUACUAAUUUAUAGUUUUUAUUAUAAGUAUAAAUGGAGUAUCAUGCUAAUAAGAAGAAUAUAGAAAUAGAGUCUACCACUAAUUCUCAGAGACCUAAUAGAUGAAAGAAAAUAUUACAUUGUAGGACACUUAUUGAGUUUUUAUUUCAUCCUAGGUCACUUGUUGCUACUAACACACUUUUCUUGUACUUUCUCUACCAACGCCUCUAGUACAAUAUCUCUUUUACCCUUUCUUCCAAGUUUUUAUUCCUUUCUAACUAAAACAACCGACAAAAAAAUUACUUCAUCUCAUCUUCUUAAUUUUGAAAUCUUCUCGUAUCCAUGGUAAGGGGAGUAAAGAAAAAAAUCUUUAUAAAAGAAAAAAAAAUAAAAAAUUCUCCAAAUCGGACGAUAUUUCUCCGAUUUUGACUAAUUCUAACCCAGAAAAUCCUCAUAUUUCUGAAAAAUUGUCUUCAUUCUCUCUUUAUUUUCCCAAUUUCUUUUGGGAAUGUCUAAGGUUAUGCAAUUUCUUACAAAAGAUGGCUCCUUUAUGUACCAAUUCGAAGGUUAGGCUGUGAAUAUUUGGGUUUUUUUUGUUAAAUUCUGACAAGCUUAUGUCUUUUUUUAUUUUAUUUUGCAGGCCUUGCAAAUCUAUCAGUUACAUGUUAAAUUUUGAUAUAUAACUUGAUUUUGUAUAGCUAAUGUGCCUAUGUUGUUUCCUUUUACUGUUUUUUUCUUUCAAGUCACAAAAAUGAUUUGAUAAUGUUGUUGUGGAGUCUUCAUAUAUGUCCUUACUCUUUAUAUUUCUCAAGUUUUUAUGAGUCUUUUUAAUGGAGAACUGAAGCUGCUGAGUUAGUAGUCAUUAGUUAUCCCAAUUGAGGCUGAUUUGCAGAACAUGUUAGUCACUUUAUUAGUGUCUCUUUGAUAUUUGUCUCUGAUCAGAUUCGAACACAUUACCAUUCCCUUUAUGUGUCUUGACGCAUAACAUAUUCUGAUAUAUAUCAUAUAGUUAUGGCGUUUGUAUUCUCCGGUUAGGACGUUCCUUCUUUCUGUAACUUUUGAUUUGAACAGAUUGUGGAGGUGAUGAUCCAGAGCUCAAACAGGAAAUGAAGAAGCAGUUUGUGGACACUGGCUAAGGAGUUGAAGCUGCAAGAAGCAGUUGGAGAUGAGCAUAGCCGUCAUAUGAACGAUACCCUUGCAGAAGCUAAAGUUGCAUCUUCACUAUCAUUGUGGGGAUACAAUGCUAUCCAACUUUACUUACAUAGUUUAUAUGCUCAUCUCGGAAACUAGCUUCUCCUGCUCCCCCUAGGUUACGUUUGUAUAGGUCUUAUAUUUUGGGCAUACUCAUUUGGUGGACACUUCAACUCUCCACGUUGACACUAGUCUGCAUCUCUUGUGCUUUUUACAUGUUUUUGUUCUGUUUUUUUUUUUUUGCUUUGAGAUGUAUAAAUGAAUACUUUGUACAUUUGCAAUAUCAUAUUUGCUGGGGUUUUUAA